UAUGGAAAGUCACAAUAAGACACAAGAAUCUACAGGUCGAGCAAGUCUCGUAAAUUUCACGAUUGCGAGCCACGCUUCACGCAACCGUGUUUGCGUACUUGUGUUUCAAGUUGCGUGGUCGUACGGAGUUAUAUUUACCAAAUUUAAAUAUAAUCGUUUUCAAAAUUAAAUCAAUAUGUCAAUAUGGCUACUGGGUGUAAAAGAUAAAUCUUAUUCUAUCUGUUCUUAAUGAGUUUUAGAUAAUUUUAGUUGUAUUUCUUUGUAAUUUUGUGUUGUACAAAGAUUAAUUUAACAUUUUCUCUGGAAGUAUUCAUUUAGAAAGAUAAUAUGCUUCAUUGGUGUUGUGUUUUGAAGUGUGAAAUGUGAUAAAGUCAAGAUAAAGUUCACUUUUAAACUGAACUAAAUAAGGUAUCUGAGAGACAACAAUGGUUAAAUGCAAUACAAUGUACAGGUUUUACUAGCGAAAUGAAAAUUUUCCUGUCCUGUCUGCUGUAAUCAUUUUAUAUCUGGAAAACCAGCCGACUUAAUAGAUAAUAACAAUCUCCAGAUUGGGUUCCUUCAAUAAAUAUGGUCUAUAAACACAAUGAAAUAAGUUCCCCAAAAUCUAAAAUGGAGUGGUAUCAAAGGAGAAUUAAAGGGAAAAAUAUUCAUAUUGAAAUUAUUUAUAAGGCACUGGACUGUCUUAAAUUCUACAAUAAUACUAGAAUCAGCUGAAGAAGUGGUCUACAAAAAAACCAGGAAGGAAACGGAAUAUGUGGCUACGAAAGGCAAAAGAAAGGUUUACAAAGCAAAUGUGACACAUUUUUUUGAAAUAUUUAGGAAUAUCAGUAAAUUGCAUUAAAAAAAUGUAUGAAAAGAUUUUGUUCAAUAAAAAUGUUUAUAUUUAUCAAGGAUGUAUUAUUUGGUAUGGCCACAUAUCGUCAGUGAUGUAAUAAUACAUCCUAUCUGUUUUUUCAUGAGUUUUGUAAGAGAGACUAAAAACUUGUCUUAGGGUCACCUCCU
This 1002-nucleotide long non-coding RNA is filed under the name Diabrotica virgifera virgifera (western corn rootworm). RNAcentral describes it as "uncharacterized LOC114326924". The record is from RNAcentral. Lineage: Eukaryota; Metazoa; Arthropoda; Insecta; Coleoptera; Chrysomelidae.